GGGUUGCUAACUCAACGGUAGAGUACUCGGCUUUUAAUUUCCGGGUUCGAGUCCCGGGCAACCCA
This 65-nucleotide transfer RNA is filed under the name Bletilla striata. RNAcentral's name for it is "tRNA-Lys". It matches the Rfam family "tRNA". Rfam says of the family: Transfer RNA (tRNA) molecules are approximately 80 nucleotides in length. Their secondary structure includes four short double-helical elements and three loops (D, anti-codon, and T loops). The record is from RNAcentral. RNAcentral also lists the same sequence under 11 other names. Lineage: Eukaryota; Viridiplantae; Streptophyta; Magnoliopsida; Asparagales; Orchidaceae.